GAUAUAGAGCAAAACCCUAAAAAACGGUACUCAGUUCGGAUUGAAGGCUGAAAUUCGCCUUCAUGAAGCUGGAAUUGCUAGUAAUGGCAGGUCAGCAUACUGCCGUGAAUACGUUCCCGGGCCUUGUACACACCGCCCGUCACACCAUGAGAGUUGGGAAUACCCGAAGCCUGUGAGCUAACUUUUAGAGGCAGCAGUCGAAGGUAGAAUCAAUGAUUGGGGUGAAGUCGUAACAAGGUACC
Molecule: ribosomal RNA, 242 nt
Filed under: uncultured bacterium
Lineage: Bacteria
Description: partial 16S ribosomal RNA
Rfam family: Bacterial small subunit ribosomal RNA
Source: RNAcentral